CCUACGGGAGGCAGCAGUGAGGAAUAUUGGUCAAUGGCCGGAAGGCUGAACCAGCCAAGCCGCGUGAAGGACGAAGGUGCCAAGCAUUGUAAACUUCUUUUGUCAAGGGACAAAUUCAGGCUCGAGAGCCUGACCGAGGGUACUUGAAGAAACAGCAUCGGCUAACUCUGGGCCAGCAGCCGCUGUAAUACGGAGGCUGCGAGCGUUAUCCGGAUUUAUUGGGGUUAAAGGGUGCGUAGUCGGACUGUUAAGUCAGCGGUAAAAGCCCGGGGCUAAACCCCGGCGAGCCGUUGAAACUGGCUGUCUAGAGAUGGCGAGAGGUAGGCGGAAUGCGCAGUGUAGCGGUGAAAUGCUUAGAU
RNAcentral lists this ribosomal RNA (359 nucleotides) under uncultured bacterium. RNAcentral's name for it is "partial 16S ribosomal RNA". It matches the Rfam family "Bacterial small subunit ribosomal RNA", at positions 338 to 695 of the family's 1533-position model. The record is from RNAcentral.